Molecule: long non-coding RNA, 642 nt
Organism: Hyla sarda
Lineage: Eukaryota; Metazoa; Chordata; Amphibia; Anura; Hylidae
Exons: 3
Source: RefSeq, a predicted model, not a curated record
AUACUCCGGGUGUCUCUGUAGUGUCAUCCUGAAUAUCUCACCGGCCGAUCACGUGAUCGCAAAGACAUAAUAUUGGGGGGAAUGAGGAUUGCCCCCUAAGGAUGAUUGAUCUGGAUCAAUGCUGCGGUGGUUCUCAUACACGGUGCACUCAAUCCGGUGAGUCACCCAGCCAUCUACAGUGGUCAGCCAAACUUCAUCACCUGGUUGUAAUGUUAUGUUCUUCUCUGAUUUUGCACUAGGACUAGCCCCCCCUCUUUGAUUUAUGUACAUCAUUGUUAUAUCAUAUCCCUGUUGGCGCAAUAUUGAUGUUAUCUUAUGAAUUUUUGAUCACCAUAAUAUCUGCAAAUUUCUGUAGACCCGCUACUAUAGACUGCUAUGAAUUCGCUUUGAUGCAAAUGAUGUGUAUGUAUACAAUUUUGCCUCAAUAUCUUUCACCAAUCCUUGAGCAGCAUUAGUCCAUUUUUGUUCUGAUCUCUGUGAAUAAUUUUUGUUGUUAAUCAACUAUUCAGAUGGACUAUUUAUUAUCUAUGUAUAUGAUAUUAUAUACUGAUGUUAUGCUGUUUCACAUAGGUCUGAGGAAGGUCAUUUUUGACCGAAACGUCACAUAUAUUUUUGGAUUGCAAGAAUAAAAUUUACUACUAU